RNAcentral lists this ribosomal RNA (406 nucleotides) under uncultured bacterium. Its description in RNAcentral is "partial 16S ribosomal RNA". It matches the Rfam family "Bacterial small subunit ribosomal RNA", at positions 30 to 526 of the family's 1533-position model. The record is from RNAcentral.
AUUGAACGCUGGCGGCGGGCCUAACACAUGCAAGUCGAACGAGUGGCGGACGGGUGAGUAAUGUCUGGGAUACUGCCUGCUGGAGGGGGAUAACUACUGGCAACGGUAGCUAAUUCCUCAUACCAUCAGAUGUUCCCAGAUGGGAUUUGCUAGUUGGGGGGGUAACGGCUCAACAAGGCGACGAUCCCUAGCUGGUCUGAGAGGAUGACCAGCCACACGGGAACUGAGACACGUACCAGACUCCUACGGGAGGCAGCAGUGGGGAAUAUUGCACAAGGGGCGCAAGCCAGAUGUAGCCAAGCCGCGUGUAUGAAGAAGGGCUUCGGGUUGUAAAGUACUUUCAGCGGGGAGGCGGUACCCGCAGAAGAAGCACCGGCUAACUCCGUGCCAGCCGCCGCGGUAAUAC